GAUGAACGCUGGCGGCGUGCCUAAUACAUGCAAGUCGAGCGAACAGACGAGGAGCUUACUCCUCUGACGUUAGCGGCGGACGGGUGAGUAACACGUGGAUACCUACCUAUAAGACUGGGAUAACUUCGGGAAACCGGAGCUAAUACCGGAUAACAUGUUGAACCGCAUGGUUCAACAGUGAAAGACGGUCUUGCUGUCACUUAUAGAUGGAUCCGCGUCGCAUUAGCUAGUUGGUAAGGUAACGGCUUACCAAGGCAACGAUGCGUAGCCGACCUGAGAGGGUGAUCGGCCACACUGGAACUGAGACACGGUCCAGACUCCUACGGGAGGCAGCAGUAGGGAAUCUUCCGCAAUGGGCGAAAGCCUGACGGAGCAACGCCGCGUGAGUGAAGAAGGUCUUCGGAUCGUAAAACUCUGUUAUUAGGGAAGAACAAAUGUGUAAGUAACUAUGCACGUCUUGACGGUACCUAAUCAGAAAGCCACGGCUAACUACGUG
This 496-nucleotide ribosomal RNA is filed under the name uncultured bacterium. Its description in RNAcentral is "partial 16S ribosomal RNA". It matches the Rfam family "Bacterial small subunit ribosomal RNA", at positions 28 to 507 of the family's 1533-position model. The record is from RNAcentral.